AUGAACGCUGGCGGCGUGCCUAAUACAUGCCAGUCGAGCGAACAGACGAGGAGCUUGCUCCUCUGACGUUAGCGGCGGACGGGUGAGUAACACGUGGAUAACCUACCUAUAAGACUGGGAUAACUUCGGGAAACCGGAGCUAAUACCGGAUAAUAUAUUGAACCGCAUGGUUCCAUAGUGAAAGACGGUUUUGCUGUCACUUAUAGAUGGAUCCGCGCCGCAUUAGCUAGUUGGUAAGGUAACGGCUUACCAAGGCAACGAUGCGUAGCCGACCUGAGAGGGUGAUCGGCCACACUGGAACUGAGACACGGUCCAGACUCCUACGGGAGGCAGCAGUAGGGAAUCUUCCGCAAUGGGCGAAAGCCUGACGGAGCAACGCCGCGUGAGUGAUGAAGGUCUUCGGAUCGUAAAGCUCUGUUAUUAGGGAAGAACAAAUGUGUAAGUAACUAUGCACGUCUUGACGGUACCUAAUCAGAAAGCCACGGCUAACUACGUG
RNAcentral lists this ribosomal RNA (496 nucleotides) under uncultured bacterium. RNAcentral describes it as "partial 16S ribosomal RNA". It matches the Rfam family "Bacterial small subunit ribosomal RNA", at positions 29 to 507 of the family's 1533-position model. The record is from RNAcentral.